AUGGACAGUUUGGGUUUGGCACUAGUAAGUUUGCAGAAAAACAUUGAUUUGCUCUUGAAAGUUUGGAUGGUCUCGUCUGAGCGAGCCAUGGAAGCCAACACAAGCAGCAAGACCGGCGAGGUGCCGUCCCUCCUCGCCAACGUUGAGGUUUCCCAUCUCGACGGCUUCGAUACGACCACCCCGAUGCAGAGCCCCAAACCGGUGCUUUACCCCGACACGGGCCGCCCCGCCCGGAUGCGGCCGCCGGAGCGCGUGGCCCCGCGCAGCGAGGCGGUGAUCCCAGCUUUCGACUCGCCGUUCAACCCGCCGGGGCAGCGCUCGGGGUACCCCGUGUCUAUCAGCCUGCCAUCGUCGCCGACCGGCUUCGGCGAGCCCCUCGUGGCGCCCGGCGGCGACUUGCACGAGCGGAAGCAGGCCAUGUCGAACGCGGCGCAGGAGCCGGCGCAGCACGUGAGGUUCGUGCAGCCGCACAGGGUGAUGUUCCGGUCGCAGCCGAACCCCGGCGGGGUGCCCACCCACGCCGUGAGACGGAUGGGUAGCCGGGGCGGCAGGACCAUGAACCGGGACAAGCGCUUCGACUCGUUCAAGACGUUUUCCGGGAAGCUGGAGCGGCAGAUCACCCAUCUGGCCGGCGGCGGCGUGCCGGUUAGUACCCCCGAGGAGGAGGAGUUCGCCCAGGGACAGGGAGAAGCCGUGAGUGGCGACAACGUUGAUCGCUUCUUCGCCGCACUGGAGGGACCCGAGCUGGACAAACUCAAGUCGUCGGAGGAGCUGGCGCUGCCGGCGGACAAGAAGUGGCCGUUCCUGCUCCGGUUCCCCAUCUCGGCGUUCGGUAUGUGCCUCGGGGUCAGCAGCCAGGCGAUCCUGUACAAGACGAUCGCGACGGCGGCGCCGACCGAGUUCCUGCACGUGAACCCCAAGGUGAACCUGGUGCUUUGGUUCAUCUCCGUGGGGCUAAUGUCCAUCAUCACGGCCGCGUACGCAUUCAAGAUCAUCUUCUUCUUCGAGGCCGUCCGUCGCGAGUACUACCACCCCAUCCGUGUCAACUUCUUCUUCGCGCCGUGGAUCGCCUGUCUGUUCCUGGCCAUGGGCGUGCCCCCCUCCGUCGCCACCCAGCUGCCUCCCUGGCUUUGGUACGCGCUCAUGUUCCCGGUGCUGUGCCUCGAGCUCAAGAUCUACGGGCAGUGGAUGUCCGGCGGGCAGAGGCGGCUGUCCAAGGUGGCCAACCCGUCCAACCACCUGUCCGUCGUGGGCAACUUCGUGGGCGCGCUGAUGGGCGCGUCCAUGGGGCUCAAGGAAGGUCCCAUCUUCUUCUUCGGCGUCGGGAUGGCGCACUACGCCGUGCUGUUCGUGACGCUGUAUCAGAGGCUGCCCACCAACGCGACGCUGCCCAAGGACCUGCACCCGGUCUUCUUCCUCUUCGUGGCGGCGCCGAGCGUGGCGUCCAUGGCGUGGGCCAAGAUCGUGGACGAGUUCGGCGUGGGGGCCAAGCUCGCCUACUUCAUCGCCAUGUUCCUCUACUCGUCGCUCGCCGUCCGGAUCAACUUCUUCAGAGGGUUCAGGUUCUCGCUGUCGUGGUGGGCCUACACGUUCCCGAUGACCGGCGCGGCCAUCGCGUCCAUCCGGUACGCCACCGUGGUGGACAAUGCCUUCACCAAGGCGCUGUGUGUGGGGCUGUCGCUGCUGGCCACGCUCACCGUGACGGGCCUCUUCGCCACCACCAUGGUGCACGCCUUGGUGUUCCACGACCUUUUCCCCAACGACAACGCCAUCGCCAUCACGGACCGCAAGAUGAAGCCUAUCAUGGAGCUGCAAGAGAGUGGCAAGGACGACGACAGCCGCUCCGGCAGCAGCAGCAGCAAGGACGUAGAGGCCGGCGCCGCUGCCGCAGUAGCACCAGAAGCUUGA
Molecule: ribosomal RNA, 1908 nt
Filed under: Triticum aestivum (bread wheat)
Lineage: Eukaryota; Viridiplantae; Streptophyta; Magnoliopsida; Poales; Poaceae
Description: partial small subunit ribosomal RNA
Source: RNAcentral